GACGAACGCUGGCGGCGUGCUUAACACAUGCAAGUCGUACGGUAAGGCCCUUUCGGGGGUACCCGAGUGGCGAACGGGUGAGUAACACGUGCGUAACCUGCCCACAACUUUGGGAUAACGCUAGGAAACUGGUGCUAAUACUGGAUAUGUGCUCCUGCUGCCUGGUGGGGGUUGGAAAGCUCCGGCGGUUGUGGAUGGACUUGCGGCCUAGCCGCUUGUUGGUGGGGUAGUGGGCUACCAAGGCGGCGACGAGUAGCCGGCCUGAGAGGGUGACCGGCCACAGUGAGACUGAGAUACGGCCCAGACUCCUACGGGAGGGAGCGGUGGGGGAUAGUGCACAAUGGGCGCAAGCCUGAUGCAGCAACGCCGCGGGCGGGAGGACGGCCUUCGGGUUGUAAACCGCUUUCAGCAGGGACGAAGCUGUUUGUGACGGUACCUGCAGAAGAAGCACCGGCUAACUACGUG
This 465-nucleotide ribosomal RNA is filed under the name uncultured bacterium. Its description in RNAcentral is "partial 16S ribosomal RNA". It matches the Rfam family "Bacterial small subunit ribosomal RNA", at positions 28 to 507 of the family's 1533-position model. The record is from RNAcentral.